Molecule: ribosomal RNA, 493 nt
Filed under: uncultured bacterium
Lineage: Bacteria
Description: bacterial SSU rRNA
Rfam family: Bacterial small subunit ribosomal RNA
Source: RNAcentral
AGGACGAACGCUGGCGGCGUGCCUAACACAUGCAAGUCGAACGGAGAGGACAUGAAGUAUUUCGGUACGGAAUGCUCUCUUAGUGGCGAACGGGUGAGUAACACGUGGGCAACCUGCCCCAGACUGGGGGAUAACAUUGUGAAAACAGUGCUAAUACCGCAUGACAGGGUUCCGGGCAUCCGGGACCCUUGAAAGGAGAAAUCCGGUCAGGGAUGGGCCCGCGUCCAAUUAGCUAGUUGGCGGGGUAACGGCCCACCAAGGCGACGAUUGGUAGCCGAACUGAGAGGUUGAUCGGCCACAUUGGGACUGAGACACGGCCCAGACUCCUACGGGAGGCAGCAGUGGGGAAUAUUGGGCAAUGGGCGAAAAAGCCUGACCCAGCGACGCCGCGUGAAGGAUGAAGGUCUUCGGAUUGUAAACUUCUUUGAUCAGGGAAGAAAGAAAUGACGGUACCUGAAAAACAAGCCACGGCUAACUACGUGCCAGCCGCCGC